AGGGUUUGAUCAUGGCUCAGAACGUACGCUGGCGGCACGCCUAACACAUGCAAGUCGAACGCAGUAGCAAUACUGAGUGGCAAACGGGUGAGUAUAAUGUGGGAAUCUGCCUUUUGGUUUGGAAUAACACGGGGAAACUUGUGCUAAUACCGAAUAAGCCCUUACGGGGAAAGUUUUAACGCCGAAAGAUGAGCCUGCACUUGAUUAGCUAGUUGGUAAGGUAAAAGCUUACCAAGGCAACGAUCAAUAGCUGUUCUUAGAGGAAGACCAGCCACAUUGGGACUGAGACACGGCCCAGACUCCUACGGGAGGCAGCAGUGGGGAAUCUUGCACAAUGGGGGAAACCCUGAUGCAGCGAUGCCGCGUGAGUGAAGAAGGCCCUUGGGUUGUAAAACUCUUUCGUCGGGGAAGAAAAUGACUGUACCCGAAUAAGAAGGUCCGGCUAACUUCGUGCCAGCAGCCGCGGUAAUACGAAGGGACCUAGCGUAGUUCGGAAUUACUGGGCUUAAAGAGCUCGUAGGUGGUUAAAAAAGUUGAUGGUGAAAUCCCAAGGCUCAACCUUGGAACUGCCAUCAAAACUUUUUAGCUAGAGUGUGAUAGAGGUAAGUGGAAUUUCUAGUGUAGAGGUGAAAUUCGUAGAUAUUAGAAAGAACACCAAAUGCGAAGGCAACUUACUGGGUCACUACUGACACUGAGGAGCGAAAGCAUGGGUAGCGAAGAGGAUUAGAUACCCUCGUAGUCCAUGCCGUAAACGAUGUGUGCUAGACGUUGGAAAUAUAUUUUUCAGUGUCGCAGCGAAAGCAUUAAGCACACCGCCUGGGGAGUACGACCGCAAGGUUAAAACUCAAAUGAAUU
RNAcentral lists this ribosomal RNA (855 nucleotides) under uncultured bacterium. RNAcentral's name for it is "bacterial SSU rRNA". It matches the Rfam family "Bacterial small subunit ribosomal RNA", at positions 8 to 911 of the family's 1533-position model. The record is from RNAcentral.